AGUAACACGUGGUAACCUGCCUUAUAGUGGGGGAUAGCCUUUCGAAAGGAAGAUUAAUACCGCAUAAGAUUGUAGUAUCGCAUGAUAUAGCAAUUAAAGGAGCAAUUCGCUAUAAGAUGGACCCGCGUCGCAUUAGCUAGUUGGAGGGGUAACGGCCCACCAAGGCGAUGAUCAGUAGCCGGUCUGAGAGGAUGAACGGCCACAUUGGGACUGAGACACGGCCCAGACUCCUACGGGAGGCAGCAUG
RNAcentral lists this ribosomal RNA (247 nucleotides) under uncultured bacterium. RNAcentral describes it as "partial 16S ribosomal RNA". It matches the Rfam family "Bacterial small subunit ribosomal RNA", at positions 109 to 353 of the family's 1533-position model. The record is from RNAcentral.